CCUGUCCGUCUUGUUCUGGGUGCCCUUCACAGGGUGAAACGGGAAACCGGUGCGUCGGUCGAUUGUUAUCGAGCCUGGCAACUCCGGUGCUGCCCCCGCAACGGUAAGCGAGAGAAGCGUCAGAUCCACUGUGCCGCCAGCGGCAUGGGAAGGCGACGCUUGCAGGUUCAAGCCAGGCUCGAACCCCUUGCAAGCCCGGAGACCGGCCCGGAAAUAUCGAAAACA
Molecule: non-coding RNA, 225 nt
Filed under: Pseudomonas agarici
Lineage: Bacteria; Pseudomonadati; Pseudomonadota; Gammaproteobacteria; Pseudomonadales; Pseudomonadaceae
Source: RNAcentral